This 548-nucleotide small RNA is filed under the name Trichoderma harzianum. RNAcentral describes it as "eukaryotic LSU rRNA". The stretch from base 238 to 391 matches the Rfam family "5.8S ribosomal RNA". The record is from RNAcentral. Lineage: Eukaryota; Fungi; Ascomycota; Sordariomycetes; Hypocreales; Hypocreaceae.
UACGGAGAUGCCAGUUACGGCGGCGUUGGUUUUUAAGGAAAUAAAAAAAAGUUUUUCCCCAAUGGGGGGGGGCCCCUUGAUUUGGGUCAACACCAUUUUUGCCCCUCCUGCGUCGCCCGGUCCCACGGUGGUGCCCGCCGGAGGACCAACCAAAACUCUUAUUGUAUACCCCCUCGCGGGUUUUUUAUAAUCUGAGCCUUCUCGGCGCCUCUCGUAGGCGUUUCGAAAAUGAAUCAAAACUUUCAACAACGGAUCUCUUGGUUCUGGCAUCGAUGAAGAACGCAACAAAAUGCGAUAAGUAAUGUGAAUUGCACAAUUCACUGAAUCAUCGAAUCUUUGAACGCACAUUGCGACCGCCAAUAUUCCGGCGGGCAUGCCUGUCCGAGCCUCAUUUCCUACCUCGAACCCCUGCGGGGGGUCGGCAAUCGGGGACGUUUGUCGACCGGGUCUUCUACCACCAAAUCAUCGGGUGCAGUCGGCCGGAUGCGACAUGUCAAGACUGCUCAGCCGUAUGCCCUGGUCGGGGCCUCCCACCCCAACCUGGCCCA